RNAcentral lists this ribosomal RNA (494 nucleotides) under uncultured bacterium. Its description in RNAcentral is "partial 16S ribosomal RNA". It matches the Rfam family "Bacterial small subunit ribosomal RNA", at positions 28 to 507 of the family's 1533-position model. The record is from RNAcentral.
GACGAACGCUGGCGGCGUGCUUAACACAUGCAAGUCGAACGGAAAGGCCUGCUUUCCCUUGUGGAUUGCGGGUACUCGAGUGGCGAACGGGUGAGUAACACGUGAGUGAUCUGCCCCCAACUUGGGUAUAAGCCUGGGAAACUGGGUCUAAUUCCCGAUAGGACUGCAGGGUGGUGCCUGUGGUGGAAAACGAUUUUCUAGUGGUUGGGGAUGAGCUCGCGGCCUAUCAGCUUGUUGGUGGGGUAAUGGCCUACCAAGGCGGCGACGGGUAGCCGGCCUGAGAGGGUGGACGGCCACAUUGGGACUGAGAUCCGGCCCAGACUCCUACGGGAGGCAGCCGUGGGGAAUAUUGCACCAUGGGCGGAAGCCUGAUGCAGCGACGCCGCGUGGGGGAUGACGGCCUUCGGGUUGUAAACUCCUUUCGACCGCGAGGAAGCCACCUGGUUGGAAGGGUGGUGACGGUAGUGGUAGAAGAAGCACCGGCUAACUACGUG